GCAUAUCAAUAAGCGGAGGAAAAGAAACCAACAGGGAUUGCCCUAGUAACGGCGAAGUGAAGCGGCAUCAGCUCAAAUUUGAAAUCUGGCUCUUUCAGGGUCCGAGUUGUAAUUUGCAGAGGGCGCUUUGGUGUUGGCAGCGGUCCAAGUUCCUUGGAACAGGACGUCACAGAGGGUGAGAAUCCCGUACGUGGUCGCUGGCCUUCGCCGUGUAAAGCCCCUUCGACGAGUCGAGUUGUUUGGGAAUGCAGCUCUAAAUGGGAGGUAAAUUUCUUCUAAAGCUAAAUACUGGCCAGAGACCGAUAGCGCACAAGUAGAGUGAUCGAAAGAUGAAAAGCACUUUGGAAAGAGAGUCAAAUAGCACGUGAAAUUGUUGAAAGGGAAGCGCUUGCAGCCAGACUUGCCUGUAGUUGCUCAUCUAGGCUCUUUGCCUAGUGCACUCUUCUGCGGGCAGGCCAGCAUCAGUCUAGGCGGUUGGAUAAAGGCCUCUGUCAUGUACCUCCUCUCGGGGAGGCCUUAUAGGGGAGGCGUAAUGCAACCAGCCUGGACUGAGGUCCGCGCAUUUGCUAGGAUGCUGGCGUAAUGGCUGUAAGCGGCCCGUCUUGAAACACGGACCAAGGAGUCUAACAUCUAUGCGAGUGUUUGGGUGUCAAGCCCGAGCGCGUAAUGAAAGUGAACGGAGGUGGGAUCCCUUUAGGGUGCACCAUCGACCGAUCCUGAUGUCUUCGGAUGGAUUUGAGUAAGAGCAUGGCUGUUGGGACCCGAAAGAUGGUGAACUAUGCUUGAAUAGGGUGAAGCCAGAGGAAACUCUGGUGGAGGCUCGCAGCGGUUCUGACGUGCAAAYCSAUCGUCAAAUUUGGGCAUAGGGGCGAAAGACUAAUCGAACUAUCUAGUAGCUGGUUCCUGCGA
This 909-nucleotide ribosomal RNA is filed under the name Neocucurbitaria cava. RNAcentral's name for it is "LSU rRNA". It matches the Rfam family "Eukaryotic large subunit ribosomal RNA", at positions 38 to 963 of the family's 3401-position model. The record is from RNAcentral. Lineage: Eukaryota; Fungi; Ascomycota; Dothideomycetes; Pleosporales; Cucurbitariaceae.